GUUAGGAAUAUUCGUCAAUGGGGGGAACCCUGAACGAGCAAUGCCGCGUGAACGAAGACGGUCCUCUGGAUUGUAAAGUUCUGUUGUAUGGGAAGAACGGUACAUAUAGGAAAUGAUAUGUAAGUGACGGUACCAUUCAAGAAAGCCACGGCUAACUACGUGCCAGCAGCCGCGGUAAUACGUAGGUGGCGAGCGUUAUCCGGAUUUAUUGGGCGUAAAGCGUCCGCAGCCGGCUUAAUAAGUAUAGAAUUAAAGUCCGAGGCUUAACCUCGGUUCGUUCUGUAAACUGUUAGGCUCGAGUGUGGUAGAGGCAAGUGGAAUUUCUAGUGUAGCGGUAGAAUGCGUAGAUAUUAGAAGGAACACCAGUGGCGAAGGCGACUUGCUGGGCCAUCACUGACGGUCAGGGACGAAAGCGUGGGGAGCAAAUAGGA
RNAcentral lists this ribosomal RNA (431 nucleotides) under uncultured bacterium. Its description in RNAcentral is "bacterial SSU rRNA". It matches the Rfam family "Bacterial small subunit ribosomal RNA", at positions 354 to 777 of the family's 1533-position model. The record is from RNAcentral.